CGUGAUAGGUCAUCCCAUCUGGAAGGAGGGAUGGCUUAAAGGGGCGCGCGGGCUUCUUCUGCCCGUCCGCUCCAGGAUGGGACUGCGUCCGAUCAGGCUGUUGGCGGGGUAAUGGCCCACCAAACCUGUAACCGGUACGGGCCUUGAGAGAGGUGGCCCGGAGAUGGACACUGAGAGAAGGGUCCAGGUCCUACGGGGCGCAGCAGGCGCGAAACCUUCGCAAUGCGCGAAAGCGUGACGAGGUUAAUCCGAGUGGCCUCCGCUGAGGAGGCCUUUUGUCAGCUGUAAAUAGGCGGGCGAAUAAGGGGAGGGCAAGCCUGGUGUCAGCCGCCGCGGUAAUACCAGCUCCUCGAGUGGUCGGGGCGAUUAUUGGGCCUAAAGCAUCCGUAGCCGGUUCCGUAGGUCCUCUGUUUAAUCCACCCGCUCCACGGGUGACCUGCAGAGGAUACCGCGGGACUAGGAGGCGGGAAAGGCGGACGGGACUCCCGCGUGUAGGGUAAAAUCCUUUUGAUCGGGGAAGA
This 521-nucleotide ribosomal RNA is filed under the name uncultured archaeon. RNAcentral describes it as "bacterial SSU rRNA". It matches the Rfam family "Archaeal small subunit ribosomal RNA", at positions 152 to 656 of the family's 1478-position model. The record is from RNAcentral.